CCUACGUGAGGCAGCAGUAGGGAAUUUUCCACAAUGGGCGAAAGCCUGAUGGAGCAACGCCGCGUGGGUGAAGAAGGUCUUCGGAUCGUAAAACCCUGUUGUUAGAGAAGAAAGUGCGUGAGAGUAACUGUUCACGUUUCGACGGUAUCUAACCAGAAAGCCACGGCUAACUACGUGCCAGCAGCCGCGGUAAUACGUAGGUGGCAAGCGUUAUCCGGAUUUAUUGGGCGUAAAGGGAACGCAGGCGGUCUUUUAAGUCUGAUGUGAAAGCCUUCGGCUUAACCGGAGUAGUGCAUUGGAAACUGGGAGACUUGAGUGCAGAAGAGGAGAGUGGAACUCCAUGUGUAGCGGUGAAAUGCGUAGAUAUAUGGAAGAACACCAGUGGCGAAGGCGGCUCUCUGGUCUGUAACUGACGCUGAGGUUCGAAAGCGUGGGUAGCAAACAGGAUUAGAUACCCUAGUAGUC
This 465-nucleotide ribosomal RNA is filed under the name uncultured bacterium. RNAcentral describes it as "partial 16S ribosomal RNA". It matches the Rfam family "Bacterial small subunit ribosomal RNA", at positions 338 to 795 of the family's 1533-position model. The record is from RNAcentral.